UACGGAGGGGGCAAGCGUUGUUCGGAAUCACUGGGCUUAAAGCGUGUGUAGGUGGAUUUGUAAGUACCUUGUGAAAUCCCAUGGCUCAACCAUGGAACUGCUUGGUAUACUGCGAAUCUUGAGCCACUUAGGGGCUACCGGAACAAAUGGUGGAGCGGUGAAAUGCGUAGAUAUCAUUUGGAACGCCAAUGGUGAAAACAGGUAGCUGGGAGUGUGCUGACACUGAGACACGAAAGCCAGGGGAGCGAACGGG
This 253-nucleotide ribosomal RNA is filed under the name uncultured bacterium. RNAcentral describes it as "partial 16S ribosomal RNA". It matches the Rfam family "Bacterial small subunit ribosomal RNA", at positions 524 to 776 of the family's 1533-position model. The record is from RNAcentral.